Molecule: ribosomal RNA, 230 nt
Filed under: uncultured bacterium
Lineage: Bacteria
Description: partial 16S ribosomal RNA
Rfam family: Bacterial small subunit ribosomal RNA
Source: RNAcentral
CGGGUGAGUAAUACAUCGGAACGUGUCUUCUAGUGGGGGAUAACUGCCCGAAAGGGACGACUAAUACCGCAUGAGACCUGAGGGUGAAAGCGGGGGAGUCGCGAGACCUCGCGCUGGAAGAGCGGCCGAUGUCCGAUUAGCUAGUUGGUGAGGUAAAGGCUCACCAAGGCGACGAUCGGUAGCUGGUCUGAGAGGACGACCAGCCACACUGGGACUGAGACACGGCCCAG